AACGAACGCUGGCGGCAGGCCUAACACAUGCAAGUCGAACGAAGCCUUCGGGCUUAGUGGCGAACGGGUUAGUAACGCGUGGGAACAUACCCUUCUCUAAGGAAUAGUCUCGGGAAACUGGGGGUAAUGCCUUAUACGCCCUUUGGGGGAAAGAUUUAUCGGAGAUGGAUUGGCCCGCGUUAGAUUAGAUAGUUGGUGGGGUAAUGGCCUACCAAGUCUACGAUCUAUAGCUGGUUUGAGAGGAUGAUCAGCAACACUGGGACUGAGACACGGCCCAGACUCCUACGGGAGGCAGCAGUGGGGAAUCUUAGACAAUGGGGGAAACCCUGAUCUAGCCAUGCCGCGUGAGUGACGAAGGUCUUAGGAUCGUAAAGCUCUUUCGCUGGGGAAGAUAAUGACUGUACCCAGUAAAGAAGUCCCGGCUAACUCCGUG
This 433-nucleotide ribosomal RNA is filed under the name uncultured bacterium. RNAcentral's name for it is "bacterial SSU rRNA". It matches the Rfam family "Bacterial small subunit ribosomal RNA", at positions 29 to 507 of the family's 1533-position model. The record is from RNAcentral.